GCAUUCCUUAAUAUUGCAUUCCAGUAGAAGUAACUAUUCUUUGUAAUGUGAGAUAAGUUUCUUAAGACUUGUAAGAAAAAUUACCAGCUUUAGGGACCACAUGAUGUGUUAUUUUUUAGCUCAUCUGGCCUGAAGGGCCAAGUGAGCUAUUCUCAUCACUUGGCGUCUGGUGUCCAUCGUUGUCCCUUGUUGGGGUCAUUAAAUUUUUACAUUUUGAACUUCUUCUAGAGAACUACUGAGUGAAGUAGAACUAAACAUGAAGUGCUGACCAAGUGUUGUUACUUUGUAGCCGAUCCAUCAUCCAAGAUGGCCACCAGCGGUGGACUUAGUUUAACAUAGGACCCUAUAAGAAAUACAAACAAAUGUCUCCUUUUAGAGAACCUUUGAAUGGAAUGAAACCAAACAUAGCAUGAAUGUUCCUUAUGAGUUGCUAACCAAGUGUUGUUACUUUGUAGCCAAUCCAUCAUCCAAGAUUGCCCCCAGUGGGGGACUAAGUUUAACAUAGGACCCUAUAAGAAAUUUGUACAAGUGUUUUCUUCUAGAGAACCACUAAAUUGAAUGAAACUAAACAUGGCAUGAAUGUUCCUUAUAAUGGGCUGAUGAAAUAUUGCUACUUUGUUGCUGAUUUACUGUUCAAGAUCGCCACCAGGAUUUAUUAUUCAAUUGAGGGACCAUUAUUAAACCAAAUUUGGCCUCAAUCAUUAUUUAAGUAUUUGUUAUGAUUUUUAUCUUUUUUUAUAUGAUUUCAAAAACCAAAGUAGGAUCAGGUGAGCGACACAGGCUCUUAAGAUCCCCUAGUCACUAUUUUUAUUCAUGACUUUAAAAUACCUCACUAUAUAUAGUAAUUUAUUUUGCAAUAAUGCACUGGUCAGUUUUUGGGGCAUACUUUGCCCUAUAAUUGUUUUACUUUUUUAUAAAUUGUGACUUGGAUGGAGAGUUGUCUCAUUGGCAGUCAUACCACAUCUUCUUUAAAGAUCUAUGUUAUUAGUUUAAAAAGGUGUUUCUCACUUUGAAAUUAAAAUAAGUUUUUUUACCAGUAUUGGUUAUGAUUAUAUAUAAGAAAAAGAGGCACUGCCAUUUUAUUUGAAUUUAAUUUAAAUUUGUUAUUUGAUUAUAUUUUUGAAACUCACGAUUUAGCUUGUAGUAGUACAAACUUCAUGUUUGUUUUCUAGUCCAAAAGUUUGAAGGUCAACAUAAUAGUAUUAAAGAAGAGGGCAUUCUGUGGCAAUAUCAUGUGAUAGUAGUGCUAUGAUAGAUUUUGAAGAGUUUUGGAAAUAAUAUUUAAACUUUAUUUAUUUGUAAAAAAAUGUAAAAAAUCAUGCAUAGAGGACUUAGUUUAGCAUAUAUACAUGCAUAUUUUCAAUAAUUUCCAUGUAACUAGUUGCAUAUGGCUUUACAACACAUAUUCUUAUUUAUAUUUAUUACAUAAUAUUCAGAUUUUGAUAGACAG
RNAcentral lists this long non-coding RNA (1450 nucleotides) under Mytilus galloprovincialis (Mediterranean mussel). Lineage: Eukaryota; Metazoa; Mollusca; Bivalvia; Mytilida; Mytilidae. The record is from RNAcentral.